CGCUCGCGCUCCUGGCGGGAGGCUCGUCCCUCACAUGCCUCGCGUGGCUGGCGGACCGUUGGGAACCGCCGUUGUGGCGUUAGCGCGGGCCCUGGAGCUGCCUCGAGACAGGGUCUCUUGUGGCGAGAAGAUUUCCUGAGACAACUUAUCUGAGUUUAAUUAGUCUGAACCGGCAACAACAAUUAAUGCUCAGAAAACUAAAAGUGACACGACAGAUGAGACUUUCUGAACAGUGAUGACAGCUUGUACAUUUGCAAAUACAAGUUCUCAUCUGCAGUUCUUUCUUAAACAUUUCGUCUCCUCCACUGCGAAAUCUCCUCAAGUUGGAAGCAGAAGGGCAGCUGCUGAAGGCAACAGUUAGCAUGUUCGCAGGGAUCUCAAGACGUGGAAUCGGUCGAGGCUGAUGCAGAGCCCCUUCAACAGCCGUGUAAGCAAGUGAGUCAAAGGCAGCCUGCGACAGCUAUAUGGAACAGCAGUAGAAGAAGCCGACCCCUACUUCAUCAAUCUAGUGCCACCAAGAUAUUGGGCCUUAAAGUGAGAAUAUAAGAAACUGCAUAUCUCCUUGGGUCAAGAUCAGAUUUUUCAGUAACUUGGAAGUUGGAUAAUGGUACCAGAAUGUGACCACUCUCUAUGUUGUUCCGAAAGAGGAUCUAUUGUACUCAUGUAUAGCAUGAUCUGAUGGAUAGCAUGCAGGACAAGCUUUUCCCUAUAUUUCUGUACACAUGAUAAUAAAUAAACCAU
Leucoraja erinaceus (little skate) is the source of this 741-nucleotide long non-coding RNA. RefSeq lists it as uncharacterized. Lineage: Eukaryota; Metazoa; Chordata; Chondrichthyes; Rajiformes; Rajidae. The transcript is spliced from 4 exons. The record is from RefSeq and is a predicted model, not a curated record.